CAGCAGCCGCGGUAAUGCGAAGGGUGCAAGCGUUAAUCGGAAUUACUGGGCGUAAAGCGUGCGUAGGCGGUGAGUUAAGUCUGCUGUGAAAUCCCCGGGCUCAACCUGGGAAUGGCAGUGGAUACUGGCUCGCUAGAGUGUGUCAGAGGAUGGUGGAAUUCCCGGUGUAGCGGUGAAAUGCGUAGAGAUCGGGAGGAACAUCAGUGGCGAAGGCGGCCAUCUGGGACAACACUGACGCUGAGGCACGAAAGCGUGGGGAGCAAACAGGAUUAGAUACCCCCGUAGUCCCUGUCUCUUAUAA
Molecule: ribosomal RNA, 301 nt
Filed under: uncultured bacterium
Lineage: Bacteria
Description: partial 16S ribosomal RNA
Rfam family: Bacterial small subunit ribosomal RNA
Source: RNAcentral